Long non-coding RNA from Thalassophryne amazonica, 165 nucleotides. RefSeq lists it as uncharacterized. The record is from RefSeq and is a predicted model, not a curated record. NCBI's taxonomy places the organism in Eukaryota, Metazoa, Chordata, Actinopteri, Batrachoidiformes, Batrachoididae. The transcript is spliced from 3 exons.
UUGUGUUCCUUGUAACAAGGACAUGAGUUGCUCAGAGACCACCCUAUCUAAGACUUUAGACAAGAAUGGAAGUUUUGAUAUUGGUCUAAAGUUUUUAGGAUCUGUAGGGUCCAGGUUUGGUUUUUUGAGAAGAGGUUCCACAAAAGCAUGUUUAAAAAAGCUGGG